CCUACGGGCGGCACCAGUGGGGAAUAUUGGACAAUGGGGGCAACCCUGAUCCAGCGAUGCCGCGUGAGUGAAGAAGGCCUUCGGGUUGUAAAACUCUUUCACCUGUGAAGAUAAUGACGGUAGCAGGAGAAGAAGCACCGGCAAACUCUGUGCCAGCAGCCGCGGUAAGACAGAGGGUGCUAGCGUUGUUCGGAAUGACUGGGCGUAAAGGGCGCGUAGGCGGUUUUUCAAGUCAGAUGUGAAAGCCCCGGGCUUAACCUGGGAACUGCAUUUGAUACUGGAUGACUGGAGUACGAGAGAGGAAAGUGGAAUUCCUAGUGUAGAGGUGAAAUUCGUAGAUAUUAGGAGGAACACCAGAGGCGAAGGCGGCUUUCUGGCUCGUAACUGACGCUGAGGCGCGAAAGCGUGGGGAGCAAACAGGAUUAGAUACCCUCGUAGUC
Molecule: ribosomal RNA, 440 nt
Filed under: uncultured bacterium
Lineage: Bacteria
Description: bacterial SSU rRNA
Rfam family: Bacterial small subunit ribosomal RNA
Source: RNAcentral